This 886-nucleotide ribosomal RNA is filed under the name Bacillus licheniformis. Its description in RNAcentral is "bacterial SSU rRNA". It matches the Rfam family "Bacterial small subunit ribosomal RNA", at positions 1 to 871 of the family's 1533-position model. Lineage: Bacteria; Bacillati; Bacillota; Bacilli; Caryophanales; Bacillaceae. The record is from RNAcentral.
UUAGAGUUUGGAAUCUGGUUCAGGACGAACGCGGGCGGCGUGCCUAAUACAUGCAAGUCGAGCGGACCGACGGGAGCUUGCUCCCUUAGGUCAGCGGCGGACGGGUGAGUAACACGUGGGUAACCUGCCUGUAAGACUGGGAUAAUUCCGGGAAACCGGGGUUAAUACCGGAUGCUUGAUUGAACCGCAUGGUUCAAUCAUAAAAGGUGGCUUUUAGCUACCACUUACAGAUGGACCCGCGGCGCAUUAGCUAGUUGGUGAGGUAACGGCUCACCAAGGCGACGAUGCGUAGCCGACCUGAGAGGGUGAUCGGCCACACUGGGACUGAGACACGGCCCAGACUCCUACGGGAGGCAGCAGUAGGGAAUCUUCCGCAAUGGACGAAAGUCUGACGGAGCAACGCCGCGUGAGUGAUGAAGGUUUUCGGAUCGUAAAACUCUGUUGUUAGGGAAGAACAAGUACCGUUCGAAUAGGGCGGUACCUUGACGGUACCUAACCAGAAAGCCACGGCUAACUACGUGCCAGCAGCCGCGGUAAUACGUAGGUGGCAAGCGUUGUCCGGAAUUAUUGGGCGUAAAGCGCGCGCAGGCGGUUUCUUAAGUCUGAUGUGAAAGCCCCCGGCUCAACCGGGGAGGGUCAUUGGAAACUGGGGAACUUGAGUGCAGAAGAGGAGAGUGGAAUUCCACGUGUAGCGGUGAAAUGCGUAGAGAUGUGGAGGAACACCAGUGGCGAAGGCGACUCUCUGGUCUGUAACUGACGCUGAGGCGCGAAAGCGUGGGGAGCGAACAGGAUUAGAUACCCUGGUAGUCCACGCCGUAAACGAUGAGUGCUAAGUGUUAGAGGGUUUCCGCCCUUUAGUGCUGCAGCAAACGCAUUAAGCACUCCG